GACGAACGCUGGCGGCGUGCUUAACACAUGCAAGUCGAACGGAAAGGCCCUGCUUUUGUGGGGUGCUCGAGUAGCGAACGGGUGAGUAACACGUGAGUAACCUGCCCUUGACUUUGGGAUAACUUCAGGAAACUGGGGCUAAUACCGGAUAGGAGCUCCUGCUGCAUGGUGGGGGUUGGAAAGUUUCGGCGGUUGGGGAUGGACUCGCGGCUUAUCAGCUUGUUGGUGGGGUAGUGGCUUACCAAGGCUUUGACGGGUAGCCGGCCUGAGCGGGUGACCGGCCACAUUGGGACUGAGAUACGGCCCAGACUCCUACGGGAGGCAGCAGUGGGGAAUAUUGCACAAUGGGCGGAAGCCUGAUGCAGCAACGCCGCGUGCGGGAUGACGGCCUUCGGGUUGUAAACCGCUUUCGCCUGUGACGAAGCGUGAGUGACGGUAAUGGGUAAAGAAGCACCGGCUAGCUACGUG
This 468-nucleotide ribosomal RNA is filed under the name uncultured bacterium. RNAcentral describes it as "partial 16S ribosomal RNA". It matches the Rfam family "Bacterial small subunit ribosomal RNA", at positions 28 to 507 of the family's 1533-position model. The record is from RNAcentral.